This 235-nucleotide unclassified non-coding RNA is filed under the name uncultured fungus. Its description in RNAcentral is "sequence contains ITS1". The stretch from base 1 to 97 matches the Rfam family "5.8S ribosomal RNA", at positions 49 to 154 of the family's 154-position model. The record is from RNAcentral. Lineage: Eukaryota; Fungi.
GAAAAUGCGAUAUGCAGUGUGAAUUGCAGAACCACGAAUCAUCGGAUCUUUGAACGCAACUAGCGCUGGUACAACCAGCAUGUUUGGUUCAGUGUGCGCAACCAAUAACUCAGCUAAAUGUGGGAGAAGUUCUUCCAUCAAGCUCUGCUCCACGGCAGUAGUCACUAUGUGAACUACCGUAGGCUAAAUGACUUAUUUGCACCUGAACUCAAGCAAGAUGACCCGCUGGACUUAA